CUACGGGAGGCAGCAGUGGGGAAUUUUGGACAAUGGGGGCAACCCUGAUCCAGCCAUGCCGCGUGAGUGAAGAAGGCCUUCGGGUUGUAAAGCUCUUUCGGACAGAAAGAAAUCGCACAGGAUAAUACCUUGUGUGGAUGACGGUACUGUAAGAAGAAGCACCGGCUAACUACGUGCCAGCAGCCGCGGUAAUACGUAGGGUGCGAGCGUUAAUCGGAAUUACUGGGCGUAAAGCGUGCGCAGGCGGUUUAUUAAGACAGAUGUGAAAUCCCCGGGCUCAACCUGGGAACUGCAUUUGUGACUGGUAGACUAGAGUGUAGCAGAGGGGGGUAGAAUUCCACGUGUAGCAGUGAAAUGCGUAGAUAUGUGGAGGAAUACCGAUGGCGAAGGCAGCCCCCUGGGUUAACACUGACGCUCAUGCACGAAAGCGUGGGGAGCAAACAGGAUUAGAAACCCUUGUAGUCC
Molecule: ribosomal RNA, 465 nt
Filed under: uncultured bacterium
Lineage: Bacteria
Description: bacterial SSU rRNA
Rfam family: Bacterial small subunit ribosomal RNA
Source: RNAcentral